This 82-nucleotide transfer RNA is filed under the name bacterium. Its description in RNAcentral is "tRNA-Leu". It matches the Rfam family "tRNA". Rfam says of the family: Transfer RNA (tRNA) molecules are approximately 80 nucleotides in length. Their secondary structure includes four short double-helical elements and three loops (D, anti-codon, and T loops). Further hydrogen bonds mediate the characteristic L-shaped molecular structure. tRNAs have two regions of fundamental functional importance: the anti-codon, which is responsible for specific mRNA codon recognition, and the 3' end, to which the tRNAs corresponding amino acid is attached (by aminoacyl-tRNA synthetases). tRNAs cope with the degeneracy of the genetic code in two manners: having more than one tRNA (with a specific anti-codon) for a particular amino acid; and 'wobble' base-pairing, i.e. permitting non-standard base-pairing at the 3rd anti-codon position. The record is from RNAcentral.
GCCAUCUUGCCCGAGCGGUCUAAGGGGGUCGAUUCAAGCUCGACUAUGUUCGCAUGCGCCGGUUCAAAUCCGGCAGAUGGCA